GAUGAACGCUGGCGGCGUGCUUAACACAUGCAAGUCGAACGGAAAGGCCCAAGCUUGCUUGGGUACUUGAGUGGCGAACGGGUGAGUAACACGUGGGUGAUCUGCCCUGCACUUCGGGAUAAGCCUGGGAAACUGGGUCUAAUACCGGAUAGGACCACUUCUUGGAUGUUGUGGUGGAAAGUUUUUUCGGUGUGGGAUGAGCUCGCGGCCUAUCAGCUUGUUGGUGGGGUAAUGGCCUACCAAGGCGUCGACGGGUAGCCGGCCUGAGAGGGUGUACGGCCACAUUGGGACUGAGAUACGGCCCAGACUCCUACGGGAGGCAGCAGUGGGGAAGAUUGCACAAUGGGCGCAAGCCUGAUGCAGCGACGCCGCGUGGGGGAUGACGGCGUUCGGGUUGUAAACUCCUUUCGCUAGGGACGAAGCGUUUUGUGACGGUACCUGGAGAAGAAGCACCGGCUAACUACGUG
Molecule: ribosomal RNA, 467 nt
Filed under: uncultured bacterium
Lineage: Bacteria
Description: partial 16S ribosomal RNA
Rfam family: Bacterial small subunit ribosomal RNA
Source: RNAcentral